UGCCGAGCCCAGCAGGUAGGUCUGUAAGCACUGAGGCUGCCAGGAUGAAAGGCAUUUGCUACAUCUACUCAGAGGGUCGUCAAUGGACAACCUGUACAAGAUUUAUGCUUUAAAUAAUAAAUGAACUAAACACCUUGAGGUAAUUGGCUGUGUGAAGCUUCACAAUAGCCCAGAUAGCUUGUCUGAAAAAAGCCAAAGAAGACUGAAUAAUGGAUGCGGGGCGUGGGGGAUUUGUGCCAAGCCAACACUGCACAGCUCCUUUUUAAACAAGAGUGGUCUGGGACUCCAGUUUCCAGGAUCCUAAGAAGUGCUGACCAGACUUUCUCUUUCUGUGUCCACAGUAAUGACUUCAAACGUUCUUACUUUUUCAUGAUUUCCAAUGGAUGCUGGCACGUGACAGCCAGUUCUUUUAGCUUAAUAUGUGGCCCGCUGGGUGAUGCAAUCUUGUCCAAAGUCUACAGCAUACUCAAUUCUACCUGCACUUUAUAAAGAUAAGAAAGACCAGCAUCUGAGAUGUCUGGGGGUGGGUACCUCUGAUGCAGUACAGAUUUAGUAGCAACUGCCACCAUGAGGACUAACUGAUGGCCUGUCAACCAGCAUUCAAGACAUGUCCACUGCAGGAUUCUGUAAGCAGAGAGCCCCUUCCUGUGAGAAAAGCACAUCAAGAUAUUCAUAUGAACAAAUUAUGGCAGCUUGGUGGAAAAUUUAAAUGGGGAAGAGAUGAAGGCCAGAGUCCGGCAUGAGAUUGCUGGAUGCAAACACAAGCAGACGGACUCCUUCAGGCCACAGAGGCACUGUCUGAAGCACAAAUGUACACAGCAAAGAGAUGGACACAGGGACAACUUAGAGGCAACAUUCGAAUCCCUGGCGUUCACGGCCUUUGCACCACCUGCUAACACACAUAACUGCAGGACAGCCAUGGUUUGAGAAAUGCCGAACACUGAGAAACUGAGCCCUGAAGAAAGGACCUACAAGGACGAGCUGAUGACCAAUGGAGAAGGAAAAGUCUCCUUUUCAACCAGUCUACACAACACGCUUUCACUAGUCACUACUCACUUCAGCUAGGGCAUUUUUAUAGCCAGUCCUGACGGCCUCCCUCAUCGCAUCCCCCACUCUCAGGACACCUCCAGUUUCUUCUGUGGCCUUCACUGUUUCAUCCCACAGGAGGAAAGGGGGAAACAUGUCUGCUCCCCUUUUCAAAGAAUUUUUUGUUUGUCUUUUUUUUUUUACAACUGAAUUUCCAAUGCAUUUGUGAUCUAAGAAUUAGAAUCCUGAUGGGAAAAGCAAACAAAAUUGAAGUAUGAAAAGGGAAAUGACACAGUGGAGGAUGCAUGAAUUCAAUAAAUAAAUGCAAUGCAAAUGAGAGAAUUCACAAGACAGGGAUGCAUACUGCCAACCCCAGCACUCCAGGAAAGACCAAAGAUGCUCCAGCCGGGCAUUGAGAAGAAAGGAUCACACACUGCAGCAAUGCUCACCAACUAGUCUUCCCCAGAAACAGACAAAUGACCUAAAAAUCCUAUCGUCGUUGUUGUUGUUUCUCCCUUUACAUACUGCUGAAAUCAUCUUCUGUCCCCUCACUUCCUGUCAACAGGAGUGCAAUCCAUUUCCUAAUACAAGAGUGAUGUAUUAGCCACCUGAGUUUCAAACCUGCUUUUCCUCAUUUUCAGGGGAAAUUUAUGUCGUGAUAUGCCACACUUAUUUUGAUAUAACUUACUGUGCAGAAGUGGUGUUUCUGUGAAUUAAAACCAAAGCACUGAGCCACACCACCUCCACGAGUGGAGGGAGUGCACUUUAUCACAGCCCUACUGAGAAACGUUUUAAUAUAUAUUCAGAAUGGGGAGCACCACGGUAAUCAUCCAGAAGGAGCACUGACAGCAGACAACGUGCAAAAUGCCCUGAAAAAAACUGAAAAUCACUUAAACUCUGUUACACAUCUUUCUGAAAAGAAAGGCAAUCAUGCAGGCAGAAUAUCCUCAGGCUGGAAGACCGAAUGCAGGGGCACACACAACCAGAGAAUCUACUCAGUGCUGUCCGGGAGAUACCUAUAAGGAUGGAAGCUCACUGCCGUGACUACGAACACUGCUGGUUACAGCCAUCACCAGCCCUACAUGGGCACUGAGCGUUUCACAUGUGGUCAGGGCAACAGAUGGAAUCUAUCCUCGAUGUGAUCUCAUUUUGCUAAUUUAACUGUACACAGUCACACGAUGCUAGUGGUUACCAUGUUGCACUGUGCAGCACUACAAAGAGUCUGUUACCAGAACAAAAGAGCAAAGUCAGACAAAUCAUGAAGAAAUAGUCUAGAUAUUCGAUUCCUCAACGAGGUCACAGGCUCAGUGUUUAUAAUAAUUCAAGUAUCCUCUUCUUAAUACCAGCCCACAUCUCCAGUCAUUCAAUUUACAUACCCUAGUGAUAUGCUAUCAAGGAUGAUGGGCAGAGGAAAGUAAGCGGUGCUGUGAGCCCAAUUGUGGCAGCAUGCUCUACAAUCCCAGAGCUGAGAAACAGACAGGCAGAUAUCUGGGCUUGCUGACUAGACAGCCAAGCCUAUUGAGAAAGUUCCAGCCCAGUGAAAGACCCCAUCCCCAAACAGGACAAUAACACCUGAGGAAUAACAGCCAAAGUUACCUCACACAACUGUACACCUGCAUGCACACACGCACCCAGCACACACACACACAUGCAAGAACUCUAACAUCCUGUCACUGUAUGUCUAGCUGUAUUUUACUGUUAUACAGGCUUGACAAGCCACGAGGAGUAAUUAUUCUCUACUCUUCCUAGAGAGAUUCUUAAGAUGACCCUCACAGGCUCAACUGAGAGCUAUCACUCACUCAGAUACCUGCUUUCCAGGUACAACCACCGAAAUGCCAAGAGGAAAUUAAUAAUAAGUCCAAGGAAAUCUGAGGACCAGAAAACUUGUUACUCAGAUAAACUUUUGGAACCCACAACUAAAAUAUUCUUUACACACCAUUGAGAAUGGUAGCCAAAACUUUUCUUUUAAUUGACAAAGUCCCUUUUGUAAUACAUGUAGUUCUUCUGCUUCUUUUGUCUAAUACCAAGACAGACUAUUCUAAAGAACACCAUCCAGUAGCAGUAAACUUAGGGACUAAGAAACACAUAAAUCUGUAGCCCAGAAGUCCCUCACUUAAUUUUUGGCUGAACUAUAAAUUUUCAGGUAAGGUUAUACACACAUGAUCAUCUUUAUUUUAAUGAGAAGUAAGCUGGUUGAUCGUUAGAUUCUUGUCUCCUACCCCAGUUUCUAUGGCCACGCCUUCUUUCCAUGGCCACACCCUUUUCAUGGCCACCUUGAAUUAAAUAUCCUUCAAUUUUGAAAUGAUGGGAAAAUUAGUAGGAAACAGCAUUUAUAUAUACAUGCAAAUAUUUUUUCAUGUCUUCUUGAACAGAACAGAAAACACUCUUCAAGGAUGAACUUCUCAUUCUGAACUUACUGAAUAAAGUACACUUUCAACCAUGCUCCCUAACCAUAAAGAUGAAUAAAAACAAAUUAUGCUUAACUCUUGUGUAUGUCGUUACCUAUAUUCAAGAAGCAAUUGUGUGAAUAUAGUUUUGAUGUUCACAGAGUAGGCACUGUUGAGUAAGAGUGAUUACAAUGAGCUAGCCUCGUUCAUGGUGUUCAACGCCCAGAGCUAUGAUUGGAGAAACUAGAUAUGUCCAACAGUCAAUGAGAUAGGCAAACUAUUCUACCAUCUCUGAUGUUUUUAAAGAAGAAACAGCAGACCAAUGAUUAAAAACUCCUUUGUAACUAUCCAAUAAUGUUCAGACGGCCUCCCCAUUUUUCUAUCAAUACUAGCUAAUCCACAGAAGACUUCUGUACUCAAAGCGAGGCUCAGAUAUUUUGGCUAGUGCUAGAGUACUACAGAAGCUUCCUUUGAGAAAUAAUUCAUCAACAGUUUGUUACAUUUAGAACACAAAAACACUUUAGUUGUGUUGAUUUGCAAAGCAUACCAUAGAACUGAAAGUCAUGCUUCAGGUCAUGGUCAAAUGUAGCUGCCAAGUGCCACCAUUUCUUGUGGUCCAGAGACAGAUCUAUUAAGUCAUCACUGGUAUCAAAUUUAAGUUUACUAUUAAAUGUGUUUACCUUUUAGGUCCUGGGGUAGUUAAUAUGUAUAACACGAAAGAAGAAAUUUUUUAAUUAAUGUUGUAAUUUCUCACUAACCUUGAUACCACUAAAUGUUCAAUAGCCAAACCUGGUUGAUGUGAAUAUGAAACUAUUUUUACUCAUCCCAAUAUAUGUUGAGUUGAAAUUUGUGCUUCAUUUAAAAUGGCACCAAUCAGAUGUCCCUAAAAUCCAACAGAUACAUAAAUACUCAUUCAUCAUUAUUUUUGCUUAAAAGAAUAGUAAUCUGGGUUGAUGGAGAUGAUAGCAAAACCUUUUCAGAGAUAAGCUGUCAAAUAAAUGAUUCCAUUUGCUUCAAAUUCCUCAAAAGUUACCAAAGGCUACAUCAGUCACACAGGAACCUUACAUAUCUGAGAUGCCUGGAUGGAGAUUCCCCCCCCCUAAUAGUCCAACCAUUCACCCUUAGUCAAUAAAAACAUUCAUUUUA
Non-coding RNA from Rattus norvegicus (Norway rat), 4559 nucleotides. The record is from RefSeq and is a predicted model, not a curated record. NCBI's taxonomy places the organism in Eukaryota, Metazoa, Chordata, Mammalia, Rodentia, Muridae.